RNAcentral lists this ribosomal RNA (269 nucleotides) under uncultured prokaryote. RNAcentral describes it as "partial 16S ribosomal RNA". It matches the Rfam family "Bacterial small subunit ribosomal RNA", at positions 524 to 792 of the family's 1533-position model. The record is from RNAcentral.
UACGUAGGGGACGAGCGUUGUCCGGAUUUAUUGGGUUUAAAGGGUGCGUAGGCGGGAAGAUAAGUCAGUGGUGAAAUCCUGCAGCUUAACUGUAGAAUUGCCGUUGAUACUAUUUUUCUUGAGUGUGGUCAAGGAAGGCGGAAUGUGUAAUGUAGCGGUGAAAUGCUUAGAUAUUACACAGAACACCGAUUGCGAAGGCAGCUUUCUGGGCCGUUACUGACGCUGAUGCACGAAAGCGUGGGGAUCGAACAGGAUUAGAUACCCGUGUA